CCUUUCAAUGUCAUCAUCAUAUUUCCAGGCACCAGUGUCUGCACCCAUUAGGCUCACGUCCCCAGGGAGUAUUCCUUCUGGCCAAGACUCUGUAUCUAUACUGUCCCGGAUACCUUCCAAGUUCAGGGAAGUUUUUGAGCUCCCAUUCUGAACUGUUGUGCAAUUGCUCCACAUGAUAAUUGUGGGGACAAAAUGGAUCUUCUUACCACCUUAUGUCCACUGUGCUCUUAUUAUUACAAUGUAACAAAAAGUGAGCUGGGAACUUAGGGAGGUCUCAUUCAAUGAAACAUCCAAUUCUUUGCUAGCAAAGGUAAAAAAGAAUAGAAUUCCCUUAUGAGAGACAAUUUUGCAACCAAGGAGAUUAUACUGUGUAAUGGUUUGAAAGAUUUGGGAUCAGGUCGCCUGGCAUGUUUGCAAUCUUUCCAUCUGUAUAACAUAAUAUCUGACAUAAGCAAUUUAAGGAGGAAUGAAUUAUUUUGCGUUAUGGUUCCAGAGGUUUCAGUCCAUGGUCUGCUAGCUCUAGUGCUGUGACCUGAGGUGAGGCAGAACAUCAUGAGGGAAGGAGGAGGUGGAGAAAAACUGCUCCUUACAUGCAGCAAGGCAGAAAAAGGAUAAGAAAAAGCCUGAGUGGAAGGACUAAGAAAGAAGAUGUAUCCUUCAAAGGAACUUUCUUGACCUACUGACAUCUCAGUUGCCUCAUCUCUAAAGUGGGAAGGAUAGUGACACGUACUUCACAAAGUUCUUUAGGAAUUAAAUGAGCUAAAGUGUUUGUCCACGGAGAAAACCAUGUUGGAAUUCAACCCACACUGUAGCGUAUGAGGCAGGAAACACAGUCUGACUACAGUGUUUCAAGGUGAGCCAUUCAGAGGGGGCUAGAAUUAGGUAAGGUCAUUAGGUUGGAGCCCCAUUACUGAGUCCAGAUAGCUUCCGGAGAAGGUGAAAGAGCAGCUUCCUGAACUCCUUCUCUCCUGCCCUGCUUUCCCUCUGCCUGCUGAGGUCUCUGGCAGCAAGAAGGGCAUCACCGGUUGCUGAUUUUCCAUCCUGGACCCAGAGGACGCAUGAAAACACAUGUUUCCCUGUAGCUUUCCCAGUGUUAUCUUGAGUGUCUCCCAGAAGCCAUAUGCCCAGGUCUUGGACUGCAGCCUGUAGUUUUCUGGAUGCUGUGAAGCCUUCAGGACAUGAGAACCAGUGAGAGGGACCCAGGGACCAGUGACCAUGCGUUUGAAGGGAGGAUCAGUAAGCUGACCUCUUCCAACCUGUUUCCCAGCUACCAUGAGCUGAAUAGUUUUUCUCUGUCCCACAGCUGCGUAGCUACCAUCACAAGGAUGAACACCUUUGAGAUCCUGAGCCAAAAUAAACUGUUCAUUCUUUAAACUGAGAAUUUUCUCCAGCAUUUUGUCACAGUGAUCCAAAGCUGAUUAACACACACAGCUUGUGGUGUUUUGCUAUUAGCAACUGAAAACGAAUUGAGGUGAUGGGAAUCUGGUUACUACCUGCUAUGUCUAGAUGAGAUCUUGCGUAGCAAUGGCUGUCAGCUUCAUUCCCUGCUGACCACUCCACUCAUGGAGAGGCCCUCCCUGCUACAGGCAGAGUCCAUGUGGUACAGGGUGUGAUGCAAAACCUUCUUUAGAGACCUUCACUUUGUAUUUUUCAAACCAGACAUGCAUUCAUUGGAGGAAAACCAAGCUCUUGCUCUCUAUUAUUUGACUGAAAA
This is a long non-coding RNA of Cavia porcellus (domestic guinea pig), 1714 nucleotides long. RefSeq lists it as uncharacterized. The record is from RefSeq and is a predicted model, not a curated record. Lineage: Eukaryota; Metazoa; Chordata; Mammalia; Rodentia; Caviidae. The transcript is spliced from 3 exons.